This 301-nucleotide ribosomal RNA is filed under the name uncultured bacterium. RNAcentral describes it as "partial 16S ribosomal RNA". It matches the Rfam family "Bacterial small subunit ribosomal RNA", at positions 509 to 807 of the family's 1533-position model. The record is from RNAcentral.
CAGUCGCCACGGUAACACAGAGGGUGCAAGCGUUAAUCGGAUUUACUGGGCGUAAAGGGCGCGUAGGUGGUUAUGUAAGUGAGAUGUGAAAUCCCCGGGCUCAACCUGGGAACUGCAUCUUAUACUGCGUAGCUGGAGUGCAGUAGAGGGUAGUGGAAUUUCCGGUGUAGCGGUGAAAUGCGUAGAUAUCGGAAGGAACACCAGUGGCGAAGGCGGCUACCUGGACUGACACUGAUACUGAGGCGCGAAAGCGUGGGGAGCAAACAGGAUUAGAUACCCGUGUAGUCCCUGUCUCUUAUAC